UAGGGAAUCUUCCGCAAUGGACGCAAGUCUGACGGAGCAACACCGCGUGAGUGAAGAAGGAUUUCGGUUCGUAAAACUCUGUUGUUAGAGAAGAACAGCGCAUAGAGUAACUGUUAUGCGUGUGACGGUAUCUAACCAGAAAGCCACGGCUAACUACGUGCCAGCAGCCGCGGUAAUACGUAGGUGGCAAGCGUUGUCCGGAUUUAUUGGGCGUAAAGCGAGCGCAGGCGGUCAAUUAAGUCUGAUGUGAAAGCCCCCGGCUCAACCGGGGAGGGUCAUUGGAAACUGGUUGACUUGAGUGCAGAAGAGGAGAGUGGAAUUCCAUGUGUAGCGGUGAAAUGCGUAGAUAUAUGGAGGAACACCAGUGGCGAAGGCGACUCUCUGGUCUGUAACUGACGCUGAGGCUCGAAAGCGUGGGUAGCAAACAGG
This 429-nucleotide ribosomal RNA is filed under the name Bacteroidota bacterium. RNAcentral describes it as "Bacteroidetes bacterium partial 16S ribosomal RNA". It matches the Rfam family "Bacterial small subunit ribosomal RNA", at positions 355 to 776 of the family's 1533-position model. Lineage: Bacteria; Pseudomonadati; Bacteroidota. The record is from RNAcentral.